This 331-nucleotide ribosomal RNA is filed under the name uncultured eukaryote. RNAcentral describes it as "partial 18S ribosomal RNA". It matches the Rfam family "Eukaryotic small subunit ribosomal RNA", at positions 1470 to 1796 of the family's 1831-position model. The record is from RNAcentral.
CCCUUAGAUGUUCUGGGCCGCACGCGCGCGACACUGACGAAGUCAGCGAGCAUGUCCUACGCCGACAGGUGCGGGGAAUCUUGUCAAACUUCGUCGUGAUGGGGAUUGAUUAUUGAAAUUCUUGAUCAUCAACGAGGAAUUCCUAGUAAGCGCAAGUCAGCAGCUUGCGUUGAUUACGUCCCUGCCCUUUGUACACACCGCCCGUCGCUACUACCGAUUGAAUGGUUUAGUGAGAUCUUCGGAUUGGCGCCACUGCGGCUCAGCAAUGGGCUCGGUGGAUGCCGAAAAGUUGAUCAAACUUGAUCAUUUAGAGGAAGUAAAAGUCGUAACA